UAAAAUUUGAAAACUCACAUAUAUAUUUGGAAGAACAAAGCUGUUUAGAAGAUGUGAAAUAUUUUUAAUUCUUAUCUAACGGGGAUCUUUACUAAUGUGAGCUAUACAUAUUUACCACAAAAACUAUUCAGAAAGGGCAUUGGGGCCAACAAAUCAGGAGACCUGAGGACUCAGGCUCACUCUGCAGCUGAUGUGAACUUGAAGACAAUCUUCCUCUGUCAUCCAUGCUGGAGUGCAGGCAGCAGUGUGCAAUUAUAG
Molecule: long non-coding RNA, 258 nt
Organism: Microcebus murinus (gray mouse lemur)
Lineage: Eukaryota; Metazoa; Chordata; Mammalia; Primates; Cheirogaleidae
Source: RefSeq, a predicted model, not a curated record